CCUACGGGGUGCAGCAGUCGAGAAUCAUUCACAAUGGGGGAAACCCUGAUGGUGCGACGCCGCGUGGGGGAAUGAAGGUCUUCGGAUUGUAAACCCCUGUCAUGUGGGAGCAAAUUAAAAAGAUAGUACCACAAGAGGAAGAGACGGCUAACUCUGUGCCAGCAGCCGCGGUAAUACAGAGGUCUCAAGCGUUGUUCGGAAUCACUGGGCGUAAAGGGUGCGUAGGCUGUUUCGUAAGUCGUGUGUGAAAGGCGCGGGCUCAACCCGCGGACGGCACAUGAUACUGGGAGACUAGAGUAAUGGAGGGGGAACCGGAAUUCUCGGUGUAGCAGUGAAAUGCGUAGAUAUCGAGAGGAACACUCGUGGCGAAGGCGGGUUCCUGGACAUUAACUGACGCUGAGGCACGAAGGCCAGGGGAGCGAAAGGGAUUAGAUACCCCUGUAGUC
This 446-nucleotide ribosomal RNA is filed under the name uncultured bacterium. Its description in RNAcentral is "partial 16S ribosomal RNA". It matches the Rfam family "Bacterial small subunit ribosomal RNA", at positions 338 to 795 of the family's 1533-position model. The record is from RNAcentral.